RNAcentral lists this ribosomal RNA (253 nucleotides) under uncultured bacterium. Its description in RNAcentral is "partial 16S ribosomal RNA". It matches the Rfam family "Bacterial small subunit ribosomal RNA", at positions 524 to 776 of the family's 1533-position model. The record is from RNAcentral.
UACGUAGGGGGCAAGCGUUGUCCGGAAUCAUUGGGCGUAAAGCGCGUGUAGGCGGCUCGGUAAGUCCGCUCUGAAAGCCCAAGGCUCAACCUUGGGAUGCGGGUGGAUACUGCCGGGCUCGAGUCCGGAAGAGGCGAGUGGAAUUCCUGGUGUAGCGGUGAAAUGCGCAGAUAUCAGGAGGAACACCGGUGGCGAAGGCGGGUCUCUGGGCCGAUACUGACGCUGAGGAGCGAAAGCGUGGGGAGCGAACAGG